AUUUUGCUGAUUUUAUAUGGAAUGACCCUUGUGGGUCAUAUUCCAAGUAAUGUUUUGUUAGAACUAUAUUCAUCCUACCUAUACAAAUAUCUUCCAUAUGCUUCAAUAAUCUUUUGCCUAAAUUCUACUUUGUCAUAUUUCUCUUUAUCUAAAUUCACAGUAUUACAUGAGUUAACAUAUACUACUGUUUUCUUAAGCUUUCUUCUAAUCUUUUUUAUCAUUCCUUAAUGUCCUAAAGAUCAUAGGGUACUUCUUUGGGCAAGCAUAGCAUUAGAUAUUUUCUUCAGUUUCUUAACAGUUUUCAAUUUUUCUCCUUCAUAUGCAUCUGUAUAAAUGUUCUAUCUAAUUGCUCUUGUGUAAUAUUUCUUUCUUGUUCAUUAACUCAUCUCUAUCUCCUAAUUUCUUGAAGAGAUUAGGAGAUGGAGAUGCAGUAUUCUAUAUAAAAAUGUGAAUUUAGGUAAAAAAGAAAAGUAUAGUGAUGUGACAAAUUGGAAUUUCAGUGAUAAGUUGUCAGAACAUAUGGAAGAUAUUCAUAUAGGUGAAUAUAGCUUCGGUAGAGCAUUGCAUGGAAUAUGACUUUCAAACAUAUUGGAGGGAAGCAAAGAUGGUUAAAGUAAGAUCCUGAAAGAUGGUUUUCUAAAAAAAAUAUUUAAAAUUUACCAGCUCUUUUAGGUAAAUCCCAACAAUUAGGAAAUAUCUUUUGGUAAUAGCUCAAAUUUACGAACUGUAUAGCCAUCCUGUUAAACUCACAAAAUGCACACAAAAAACAAAGCUCCAAACAGGAUGGGUGCUUUAUUGAAGGAAACGUUUUUGACCUUAUCAGUGGGCCGGCCUCGGCUGCAAUGGGUGGGCCGAACAGGGAGGGGCAGAC
RNAcentral lists this long non-coding RNA (871 nucleotides) under Androctonus crassicauda. Lineage: Eukaryota; Metazoa; Arthropoda; Arachnida; Scorpiones; Buthidae. The record is from RNAcentral.